This 273-nucleotide RNase P RNA is filed under the name Actinomycetota bacterium. RNAcentral describes it as "Actinobacteria bacterium partial RNase P RNA component class A". It matches the Rfam family "Bacterial RNase P class A", at positions 1 to 286 of the family's 367-position model. Rfam says of the family: Ribonuclease P (RNase P) is a ubiquitous endoribonuclease, found in archaea, bacteria and eukarya as well as chloroplasts and mitochondria. The record is from RNAcentral. Lineage: Bacteria; Bacillati; Actinomycetota.
AGAGUCGCCCGGAUCACCGCGUUGCGUAAGCACCGAGGAAAGUCCGGACUCCAGAGAGCAAGGUGGUGGGUAACGCCCACCCGGAGCAAUCCGCGGGAUCAGUGCCACAGAAAACAGACCGCUCAUGCAAAUGAGUAAGGGUGAAACGGUGGUGUAAGAGACCACCAGCAUUUACGGCAACGUAUAUGGCUAGGUAAACCCCACUUGGAGCAAGACCAGACAGAUAGCGUUUGAGAACUGCUCGUUCGAGCUAUCGGGUAGGUCGCUUGAUUA